RNAcentral lists this ribosomal RNA (486 nucleotides) under uncultured bacterium. RNAcentral's name for it is "partial 16S ribosomal RNA". It matches the Rfam family "Bacterial small subunit ribosomal RNA", at positions 28 to 523 of the family's 1533-position model. The record is from RNAcentral.
GACGAACGCUGGCGGCGUGCCUAACACAUGCAAGUCGAGCGGAGGUAGACAAGGAGUAAUCUGAGUUUACCUUAGCGGCGGACGGGUGAGUAACGCGUGAGCAACCUGCCUUUCACAGGGGGAUAAGGCGGCGGAAGCCGCUCUAAUACCGCAUGAGACCACGGUGAUGAUAUUACAGGGGUCAAAGGAGCAAUCCGGUGAAAGAUGGGCUCGCGUCCGAUUAGGUAGUUGGUGGGGUAGAGGCUCACCAAGCCAAUGAUCGGUAGCCGGCCUGAGAGGGUGAACGGCCACAUUGGAACUGAGAGACGGUCCAAACUCCUACGGGAGGCAGCAGUGGGGAAUAUUGGGCAAUGGGCGAAAGCCUGACCCAGCAACGCCGCGUGAAGGAAGAAGGUUUUCGGAUUGUAAACUUCUGUUCUUGGGGAAGAGAAGAAGACGGUACCCAAGGAGGAAGCCCCGGCUAACUACGUGCAGCCGCCGCGGUAA